RNAcentral lists this ribosomal RNA (1343 nucleotides) under Pedobacter faecalis. RNAcentral describes it as "16S ribosomal RNA". It matches the Rfam family "Bacterial small subunit ribosomal RNA", at positions 79 to 1424 of the family's 1533-position model. The record is from RNAcentral. Lineage: Bacteria; Pseudomonadati; Bacteroidota; Sphingobacteriia; Sphingobacteriales; Sphingobacteriaceae.
CUUGCUGGAUAAGAAAGUGGCGCACGGGUGCGUAACGCGUAUGCAACCUACCUUAAUCAGGGGGAUAGCCCGGAGAAAUCCGGAUUAACACCGCAUAAAAUCACAGUACAGCAUUGUACAAUGAUCAAAUAUUUAUAGGAUUAAGAUGGGCAUGCGUGUCAUUAGCUAGUUGGCGGGGUAACGGCCCACCAAGGCGACGAUGACUAGGGGAUCUGAGAGGAUGACCCCCCACACUGGUACUGAGACACGGACCAGACUCCUACGGGAGGCAGCAGUAAGGAAUAUUGGUCAAUGGAGGCAACUCUGAACCAGCCAUGCCGCGUGCAGGAAGACGGCCCUCUGGGUUGUAAACUGCUUUUAUUCGGGAAUAAACCUCAGUACGUGUACUGAGCUGAAUGUACCGAAGGAAUAAGGAUCGGCUAACUCCGUGCCAGCAGCCGCGGUAAUACGGAGGAUCCAAGCGUUAUCCGGAUUUAUUGGGUUUAAAGGGUGCGUAGGCGGCCUGUUAAGUCAGGGGUGAAAGACGGUGGCUCAACCAUCGCAGUGCCCUUGAUACUGAUGGGCUUGAAUGAACUAGAGGUAGGCGGAAUGUGACAAGUAGCGGUGAAAUGCAUAGAUAUGUCACAGAACACCGAUUGCGAAGGCAGCUUACUAUGGUUUUAUUGACGCUGAGGCACGAAAGCGUGGGGAUCAAACAGGAUUAGAUACCCUGGUAGUCCACGCCCUAAACGAUGAAUACUCGCUGUUAGCGAUAUACAGUUAGCGGCUAAGCGAAAGCGUUAAGUAUUCCACCUGGGGAGUACGCCCGCAAGGGUGAAACUCAAAGGAAUUGACGGGGGCCCGCACAAGCGGAGGAGCAUGUGGUUUAAUUCGAUGAUACGCGAGGAACCUUACCCGGGCUUGAAAGUUACUGAAUAACUCAGAGAUGAGUUAGUCCUUCGGGACAGGAAACUAGGUGCUGCAUGGCUGUCGUCAGCUCGUGCCGUGAGGUGUUGGGUUAAGUCCCGCAACGAGCGCAACCCCUAUGUUUAGUUGCCAGCAUGUUAAGGUGGGGACUCUAAACAGACUGCCUGUGCAAACAGAGAGGAAGGAGGGGACGACGUCAAGUCAUCAUGGCCCUUACGUCCGGGGCUACACACGUGCUACAAUGGACGGUACAGAGGGCAGCUAGCUGGCAACAGCAUGCGAAUCUCAAAAAGCCGUUCACAGUUCGGAUAGAGGUCUGCAACUCGACCUCUUGAAGUUGGAUUCGCUAGUAAUCGCGUAUCAGCAAUGACGCGGUGAAUACGUUCCCGGGCCUUGUACACACCGCCCGUCAAGCCAUGGAAGUUGGGGGUACCUAA